Molecule: ribosomal RNA, 275 nt
Filed under: uncultured bacterium
Lineage: Bacteria
Description: partial 16S ribosomal RNA
Rfam family: Bacterial small subunit ribosomal RNA
Source: RNAcentral
GCGUGAGUGAAGAAGGCCUUCGGGUUGUAAAACUCUUUCAGUGGUGAAGAUGAUGACGGUAACCACAGAAGAAGCUCCGGCUAACUUCGUGCCAGCAGCCGCGGUAAUACGAAGGGGGCGAGCGUUGUUCGGAAUCACUGGGCUUAAAGCGUACGUAGGCGGCUAUUCAAGUCAGAAGUGAAAUCCCGGGGCUUAACCCCGGAACUGCUUUUGAAACUAGAUAGCUAGAGUCCCGGAGAGGUUAGGGGAAUUCCGAGUGUAGAGGUGAAAUUCGC